GAUGAACGCUGACAGAAUGCUUAACACAUGCAAGUCAACUUGAACUUCGGUUUGGGUGGCGGACGGGUGAGUAACGCGUAAAGAACUUGCCUCACAGCUAGGGACAACAUUUGGAAACGAAUGCUAAUACCUGAUAUUAUGAUUAUAUGGCAUCGUAUAAUUAUGAAAGCUAUAUGCGCUGUGAGAGAGCUUUGCGUCCCAUUAGCUAGUUGGAGAGGUAACAGCUCACCAAGGCGAUGAUGGGUAGCCGGCCUGAGAGGGUGAUCGGCCACAAGGGGACUGAGACACGGCCCGUACUCCUACGGGAGGCAGCAGUGGGGAAUAUUGGACAAGGGACCGAGAGUCUGAUCCGGCAAUUCUGUGUGCACGAUGAAGUUUUUCGGAAUGUAAAGUGCUUUCAGUUGGGAAGAAAAAAAUGACGGUACCAACAGAAGAAGUGACGGCUAAAUACGUG
Molecule: ribosomal RNA, 454 nt
Filed under: uncultured bacterium
Lineage: Bacteria
Description: partial 16S ribosomal RNA
Rfam family: Bacterial small subunit ribosomal RNA
Source: RNAcentral